Molecule: long non-coding RNA, 787 nt
Organism: Wyeomyia smithii (pitcher-plant mosquito)
Lineage: Eukaryota; Metazoa; Arthropoda; Insecta; Diptera; Culicidae
Exons: 2
Source: RefSeq, a predicted model, not a curated record
UAAAAAAUUGACACAUUUUUCAGAUCAGUGUCCGAAUUCCGAGCACACACUUCUUCGGAGAGAAAAAAAUUUCGUAUACUAUCAAUAAAGAAAUUUUCUUCUCUUCAAAGAAAAGUGUUCUCGGAAUUCGGCCGCAGAUUACGUUAGCAACAAUAAAUGCAAUCACUAUUGUCUUCAAUCCGUUUUGCACACAUUUAUUUUUCAGGCGAAAAAAAACGAUCUUGCCAUCCUAAGGAUCGAUUCAGCAGAAGAUCGCGCGCAGAGAAAUCGAUUCAAAAAAUCGAUGAAUCGACCCGAAAAGAUCGAUUUUGCAAAAAUCGGAUCGAUCUUGCCCAUUGCUUAUAUGUAUAAGUCAAAAGUUUUCAACAGCGAUAUUAUCUGUUUUCGAAGAACAAUUGGUGUCGCUUUUUAUUCGUUUGCUAGCACCCAACAUCAUUAUUGCAGAGGAUUUGAAAACAUAAAAAACAUCUCUUCAAAAUGAACAACCGCAUGUUGUGUGUCCUGCGAUGCCGUUUUAAGUCGGGCUUUUAUUCGUGAUAAUGAACGGAAACAUUUGUAUCGAUGUACAGUGCCCAAUACAUGCAAUCGAUACAAUUUAAAUCCUUCGCAGUGUUUGGUGACGGAUGAUGACGGAUUUUCUGCUGUGCGUACUGUACAAAAACAUGAGCCACAGUUCACGGGCAACUGUCAACCGGUUGGUUGCCGCAUUAUAUAAAGACACGUGAAUGAUUUAAAACUUUUAUAAUGUUUCGAUGAAAAAUAAAUCUAUGAUUUUGAUUGUUCUGAA